RNAcentral lists this unclassified non-coding RNA (145 nucleotides) under uncultured Leotiomycetes. Its description in RNAcentral is "sequence contains ITS2". Lineage: Eukaryota; Fungi; Ascomycota; Leotiomycetes. The record is from RNAcentral.
CAACACUCAAGCUCUGCUUGGUCUUGGGCCGCACCGGCAACGGUCGGCCUUAAAAUCAGUGGCGGUGCCAUCUGGCUCUAAGCGUAGUAAUACUCCUCGCUACAGAGUCCCGGUGGAUGCUUGCCAGCAACCCCCAACUUUCUAA